ACUGGGUGCAGUGGCAUGCACUACCUGUAAUUCCAACUACUUGGAAGGUUGAGGCAGGAGGGUGGCUUGAGCCCCAGGAGUCCAGGGCCAGCCUGGGUAACAUACUGAGACCUCAUCUCUG
RNAcentral lists this small RNA (121 nucleotides) under Marmota monax (woodchuck). Lineage: Eukaryota; Metazoa; Chordata; Mammalia; Rodentia; Sciuridae. The record is from RNAcentral.